GCAUGAGGUCCACACUGCGCAACAGUACGUAUGUGUAAAUCUUAAUAUUUUUUUCACCAAUAAAAAUCAGUAAGUAUUUAACCUUGCAUGGAUGCCAUCACAAAACUUGUAAAAUGCUAUAGUGCCAUAAACACAUUUCCUUAAAUAAGAAUGCAUUUCUUAGGAGUUCUCUGUUUUCUCCAAAGUGCUAGUUGACAAACUUCUUUUAGAAGUUCCACCUGCAGUUCACUCAGAGCUUCUCCUCUCUUGCGUCCCCUCUUUCACAGGUGUGGCAGGUGCUUCUUUUGCUUCCUGUUUGACGGGCGUGGCAGGCAUGUCACCAUUGAGGCCCUCCACCCCAGUAACAGACAUCAAGCUUUUCCGUUCUUUGGAAUUAGACUUGUGCUCCACUUUUGUGACUCUAAACCUUCCCACAGAAAGUACUGUAACCUCUCCAAGGCGACUUCUUCUGUGCUCUUUGGAUUUGUGAGCUGGCUUUAUAUGAUGCCAUCGUUUGUGGCUACAGCGAGAACAAACAUCCUUCUCUAUUACUCCUCCAACAGUAUGUAAGUGAUGGCCUUUGCAGUUGUGUUUAAGUGAAGCAGCACCAGGUGACAAAGGAGACCCUGGACUUGUUGGACUUCCAGGAGCGUUAGGAGACAUGGGGCUUUCGGGUUCAAAGACACUGCUAUCUGCUACCAUGGCCUUUAACACAUCAGCAUUUGCUUCAUUUUUCAUAAUGUAGUUAAUAAUUUGUCCUACAGUGUCACUAUUCUCAUGCGCAGUUUCAUUCAUUUCUAUUUUUUCAUCAGGCUUUUCCUCUUCCUCUACUUCUUCAGCUUCUGUUGUACAACGAUACCCCUUUUUCUUAAGGACGUGACAGAUGAGGAUCCCCAAGAGACCCAUGAUGAAGAAAACAGGUACCAAUACAAAGGCAACAUACUCUAGGUGCUCAGGCUUGUUAUUAUUGCCAGCUGUCACAGUAGUUGUCGGUAGAUCACGGCUUGCCAAGGCCUGUACAUCACCGAGAUCGGAGCGGUUCCCCAGCCAGACGGCCGUCGGGCCCAGCGAGGGAGCAAUCGACGGGAUCCCGCUCGCCGCCGGCGGAGCCAUACCCGGCACCACUUCGCGCCGCCUCCGCGCUGGCAGCCCCGCUGCCGCCCGCCCGGCACGGCCCAGCCCAGCCCGGCCCGGCCCACCGGCGGCCGGACGCGCCCUUCCCGCACGGCGACU
This 1212-nucleotide long non-coding RNA is filed under the name Gallus gallus (chicken). The record is from RNAcentral. Lineage: Eukaryota; Metazoa; Chordata; Aves; Galliformes; Phasianidae.